Molecule: ribosomal RNA, 508 nt
Filed under: uncultured bacterium
Lineage: Bacteria
Description: bacterial SSU rRNA
Rfam family: Bacterial small subunit ribosomal RNA
Source: RNAcentral
AAUUUCCUGGAAACAGGAAAGUGCCUCAUUAGAGGAGCUUGGUGACAGGUGCUGCAUGGCUGUCGUCAGCUCGUGUCGUGAGAUGUUGGGUUAAGUCCCGCAACGAGCGCAACCCUUGCCUUUAGUUGCCAUCAUUUAGUUGGGCACUCUAAAGGGACUGCCGGUGUCAAACCGGAGGAAGGUGGGGAUGACGUCAAGUCCUCAUGGCCUUUAUGACCAGGGCUACACACGUACUACAAUGGCAUGUACAAAGGGCAGCCACAGGGCGACCUGGAGCGAAUCCUCAAAACAUGUCUCAGUCCGGAUUGGAGUCUGCAACUCGACUCCAUGAAGUUGGAAUCGCUAGUAAUCGUAGAUCAGCAUGCUACGGUGAAUACGUUCCCGGGCCUUGUACACACCGCCCGUCACACCACGGGAGUUGGUUGUACCAGAAGUAGUUGAGCGAACCCUUCGGGGGCGCAGGCUACCAAGGUAUGGUCGGUAACUGGGGUGAAGUCGUAACAAGGUA